AUUGAACGCUGGCGGCAGGCCUAACACAUGCAAGUCGAACGGUAACAGGAAGAAGCUUGCUUCUUUGCUGACGAGUGGCGGACGGGUGAGUAAUGUCUGGGAAACUGCCUGAUGGAGGGGGAUAACUACUGGAAACGGUAGCUAAUACCGCAUAACGUCGCAAGACCAAAAAGGGGGACCUUCGGGCCUCUUGCCAUCGGAUGUGCCCAGAUGGGAUUAGCUAGUAGGUGGGGUAACGGCUCACCUAGGCGACGAUCCCUAGCUGGUCUGAGGGGAUGACCAGCCACACUGGAACUGAGACACGGUCCAGACUCCUACGGGAGGCAGCAGUGGGGAAUAUUGCACAAUGGGCGCAAGCCUGAUGCAGCCAUGCCGCGUGUAUGAAGAAGGCCUUCGGGUUGUAAAGUACUUUCAGCGGGGAGGAAGGGAGUAAAGUUAAUACCUUUGCUCAUUGACGUUACCCGCAGAAGAAGCACCGGCUAACUCCGUG
Molecule: ribosomal RNA, 490 nt
Filed under: uncultured bacterium
Lineage: Bacteria
Description: partial 16S ribosomal RNA
Rfam family: Bacterial small subunit ribosomal RNA
Source: RNAcentral